GAUGAACGCUGGCGGCGUGCCUAACACAUGCAAGUCGAGCGUGAACCGUCUGAAUGAAACUUCGGUCGAGUGAGGAUGGGGAAAGCGGCGGACGGGUGAGUAACGCGUAGACAACCUGCCCCGUACAGAGGGAUAGCCUCGGGAAACCGGGAUUAAGACCUCAUAAUACCAUUAUCUCACAUGUGAUAAUGGUCAAAGAUUUUAUCGGUAUGGGAUGGGCCUGCGUCUGAUUAGCUGGUUGGUGGGGUAACGGCUCACCAAGGCGACGAUCAGUAGCCGACCUGAGAGGGUAAUCGGCCACAUUGGAACUGAGACACGGUCCAAACUCCUACGGGAGGCAGCAGUGGGGAAUAUUGCACAAUGGGCGAAAGCCUGAUGCAGCAACGCCGCGUGAGCGAGGAAGGCCUUUGGGUCGUAAAGCUCUGUCGAGGAGGAAGAUAAUGACGGUACUCCUCGAGGAAGCCCCGGCUAACUACGUGCCAGCAGCCGCGGUAAUACG
RNAcentral lists this ribosomal RNA (499 nucleotides) under uncultured bacterium. Its description in RNAcentral is "bacterial SSU rRNA". It matches the Rfam family "Bacterial small subunit ribosomal RNA", at positions 28 to 527 of the family's 1533-position model. The record is from RNAcentral.